AAGACUAUAGACCUGCGGAGUACCUGCGGAGGGAUCAUUAAAGAAAAAACUGCCCUUUGGGUAGAUCUCCCACCCUUUGUUUAUAUUACCUUUGUUGCUUUGGCAGGCCCGUCUCUGACCACCGGCUCUUUGGCUGGUCUGUGCCUGCCAAGAGACCUCCAACUCUUGAUUUGAAGUUGUCCAAGUCUUAUAUAAUAGUAAAAACUUUCAACAAUGGAUCUCUAGAUCGGAAGAGCACAC
Molecule: unclassified non-coding RNA, 240 nt
Filed under: soil metagenome
Description: partial contains 5.8S ribosomal RNA, internal transcribed spacer 2, and large subunit ribosomal RNA
Source: RNAcentral